Equus asinus (donkey) is the source of this 3345-nucleotide long non-coding RNA. The record is from Ensembl. Lineage: Eukaryota; Metazoa; Chordata; Mammalia; Perissodactyla; Equidae.
GGAUGGUUUUUGUACUUUCAAAGGGUUGGGAGGAGGAAUGGAAGUGACAGUCUGCAUGUGGUCCACAAAGUCUAUAUUUACUCUCUGGCCCUCUAGAGGUAAAGUUCACAGCUCAACAAGCAAUGACCAAGAGCUGACCAGACUGCCAGGUUCUGGGGGUACUGUGAGGGAUAAGACAUCAUUGUUGUCCAGAGAGAACAAGUCACGUUAGGAGAAAUAAAGGCACCAUAAUAGCAAGGGCAAUGUAUGCAAAGAUGGGGUCACACUGUCGCUAUGCAAGCACAAAAGAGGGGCACCCAGCUCAGCCUUGGGGACUUAGAGAAUGCAGAGAAGGGGAGCCUUCCAAGACGAGGGGGCAGGUAAGAUGAAGCUGGAAAGAGAAGUAGGUGUUAGGCAGAAGGGUGCGGUGAAACUGCGGGGAGGGUGGUGAGGUAGGAAAAACAGCCUAGGCAGAGAGAGAGAGAGAGAGAGAGAGAGAGAAAGAGGUGCAAAGGUUUUAGUGGAAUGCAAGGUGGAGAAUGUCAAGGGCUGCAGCUGGAGAGGGGGCUGAGGCCUGUGCCAAAGACUUCGUGUCUCCCAGCUGGAUGCUUGGACUUUACCCAGGCUCAAGCGCUGACCCCAACACUAAGUAGCUGUGUGGCCUUAAGCAAAGUACUUAACCUUUCUGUGCCUCAACUUCCUCAUCUGUAACAUGUGGUUAAGAAGAGUACCUAUCUCAUAGGGUUGCUGAAAACAUGAAAUGAGGUAAUACAUACAAAGCAUGCAGAAUUGUGCCGGCCCAUAAUUAGCACUCAGCAAGUGCUGCCGACUGUGGUUGCUGUCGGGGUCAUUGCUCUUGUUACACUAUCAGUUAUGGGAAGGCUUUGAAAAGCUGUGAACACUUGCUAUGGGCCUGUCUCUACACUGAGCACUAGGAAUAGAGUGGUCUUGUCUUAUGACAUCCGUUUGAGACCUGGACCUUGUAGAAAUCCAGGCAAAAAUUGUUUUGACUCUGGGGUUCCCUGGUGCCUGUUGCCAGAGUGUUCAGGAAAUAAUAGUGGUCUGGCCAUCCUUCACUGAAGGUGAUUAGGAGUCAGCUUCCAGCACAAAUGAUUGCGUCUGAGAGCCAGGAAGGUAGGAGGUCCAGAAUGAGGGCAUUAAGAACUCCUCAGGUCAGGAGCCACAUGCUCCCCUCUUUCUCCUAAAAGAAAAGUAUCAAAUACGGCUCUACUAGCAGAGAGAAUGAUCUAGGCUUCACCCUACCAGACUCAUACUUGAUCCUGCACAGCUUUCCUUUGCCUCAGUGGCCCAAUCUAGUCAUCAACUCUCUGGAAUUUCUUUGGACUCGUACAGUCCUUCAGUGGGUCUCUGCUUCUUCACACAGAAGAGAAAGCAUCUCUCCCGACACGUGCAGUCCAGUCCGGCAGAGGCAGCCUGGAAAUGGAGUCCACACCACAGCGAGGGCUUGCAAGGGACCCAAGAGUCACUCCCUGCCCUCCCUUGUGGCGUCUCCCUCUAGCCCAUCUGCCACAGCUCAUGGGACCUUCCCAGACACAGACACAGCCUGCAGAGGAGGCCGGGGAGUGAGAGCCAAUAGGCAGCAGGCAGGCCUGCAGCACACUCCCCAUUUCUGCUGUCCACUGUGCAGGUAGCAGAGAGGGGUCCCCUCCAUCUACAGAGCCCCCCCAAGGCUUCAGAGCUGGGGGGACCUCCGAGGUUGGUAGCCUGUCUGUGCAGCCGACCACGAGACAACGGCCCUGCUGCGGGAGCACUCAGGAUGCAGAGCUUCCGCUGAGUGCGGUGGAGCUCUCGGUGGGUGAGGCCCUGGGCCCAGGCAUUGUGUCCGCACUGCAGGAGUAGCCCCACGCUGGCAGCUGGCACCCCGGGCACUCGGCGCAGGGCCUGGGCAAGCUGCGCUCUGAUCUGCAGUCUCUCGGUGCUCUGGGCUCCUUUGGGGAGGACAUUAUCUUCGAUGUUAUUGUGUAAUAAUAGGACCAUGUUCCUGUGUCCUGCGGCUUUCUGGCUGAGCACACCAUGCUCCAUGAGGAAAUACGGUUACAGGAAUUAUGCUCUUAUUUAUUUUCCCUCCAGAAUAUCAGAGUUGACAGCACAGAGACACAGGUCUGUGGUCAUUUCAAGCUCAUUUAUCUCUCCCUGCCCCACCCUCCUCUCCUCAGCAGCCACCCUGUCACCUGCCACAGGGCCUCAGGCCCUAUCCCCUGUCUACCCAUCUCCUUAGAGUGCUCAGGCCAUACAGGCUGCUUAAGCGCUUUGUUCAAAUGUACCCAUUUAAUUCUGACGAUAGCCCUAUGGGGUAAGUAUUAUUAUUGUUCUCAUUUCACACUUGAGGAAACUCAGGCCUAGAGAGGUUAUGUGACUUGCCCAGGGUCACACAGCUAGUGAGUGGCAGAGCAUAGAUUCAAACCCAGGCUGUCGGGCUCCAUAAUUUGUGCUUUUAAUUCUGUGCUAUUCAGCCUCCAGUUCUGAUGCUUUUUUCUGUGCGGAUCUACAUAGAGAACAAACUGUGGGCACCAGCACUCGGCAUCCAGGUCAGUGGACACCGUGGAGCUGAGGAGCACUGUUGAUCAGCACUGCCCACGCUUGGCAGAAGGGAGGGGUGACGUCCUUCACCCCUGGAAAGGAUUCCCACCGUCCUGCAUUGGGUGCAUCCAGGAUGCGUGUUGGACCCAGGCUGGGGCUGCCUCCCUGUCCAGGCAGGGGAGGGCUGCAAGCAUAGCAAACCCUGCCCUUCCAGGACAGAAGCUGCCUCUGCCUGCUCUGCUCUCAGCUCUGAAGUCUUUUCUUAAAGAGCAACAUGACCUAUAGAGAAGCCCAUUCCUGCAGAGGAGGAAAGGUCAGAGGCUUCCACAGUGCGGGACUGAAUUUGGAGAAGGCUCCCUCUGCUCUGGGGCCGGCUUUGACAGGACCUGCAGUCUUAGCGUGAGAGGUCCCAUCCCAGGGGCGUGCCUGGCACUCCUGCCCCAGUCAGCUGGGCCCAGUGAACAACCUGAGCCGGGUUGCAGUGUUUCUGUACCCAGAGGAGUGGGCAGAGGUGAAGGUGUCUUUGCUUCCAUUUUGCUUUCUCCCCAGCAUGUGGUUCUCAGAGGUAGUGUCUGACUAGCUCACUGGGGCUGGGGGCCCACCUGGACUGGGCCCACAAGGCAGUGCGGCCUGUGGAAUGCCCAGGAGGAGGGCCCAGCUCUGCCUCCCAGCAGCACGCAGCCUGGGACACGCCAGCCAGGCCACCUGCUGAGAUGUCCUUCCUGCCCCUUCUCACUGCAAAGUGAGAAAAGCUCAGCGGGGUGCUGGGCUUGCUGUUGGUGGCACCAGCCUUCUCCUGGGGCGGUCCAGACCGGUGGGGGCGGG